UGUGUAACACGUAGGGAACCUGCCCCUAAGACGAGGAUAACUACUGGAAACGGUAGCUAAUACUGGAUAGGAUAAGUUGACGCAUGUUGGCUUAUUUAAAGGUGCCUAUAAAGCACCGCUUAGGGAUGGCCCUGCGGCGCAUUAGCUAGUUGGUGGGGUAACGGCCUACCAAGGCGACGAUGCGUAGCUGUGCUGAGAGGCAGAACAGCCACACUGGGACUGAGACACGGCCCAGACUCCUACGGGAGGCAGCAGUAGGGAAUUUUCGGCAAUGGGGGGAACCCUGACCGAGCGAUGCCGCGUGAGUGAUGAAGGUCUUCGGACUGUAAAACUCUGUUAUUAGGGAAGAAUACUAUAGGGAGGAAAUGCCUUAUAGAUGACGGUACCUAAUGAGGAAGCCCCGGCCAACUAUGUGCCAGCAGCCGCGGUAAUACAUAGGGGGCGAGCGUUAUCCGGAAUUACUGGGCGUAAAGGGUGCGUAGGCGGUUUCUUAAGUCUAGUGUGAA
Molecule: ribosomal RNA, 506 nt
Filed under: uncultured bacterium
Lineage: Bacteria
Description: bacterial SSU rRNA
Rfam family: Bacterial small subunit ribosomal RNA
Source: RNAcentral